RNAcentral lists this transfer RNA (76 nucleotides) under Lampropedia puyangensis. RNAcentral describes it as "tRNA-Thr". It matches the Rfam family "tRNA". From Rfam's summary of the family: Transfer RNA (tRNA) molecules are approximately 80 nucleotides in length. Their secondary structure includes four short double-helical elements and three loops (D, anti-codon, and T loops). Further hydrogen bonds mediate the characteristic L-shaped molecular structure. tRNAs have two regions of fundamental functional importance: the anti-codon, which is responsible for specific mRNA codon recognition, and the 3' end, to which the tRNAs corresponding amino acid is attached (by aminoacyl-tRNA synthetases). tRNAs cope with the degeneracy of the genetic code in two manners: having more than one tRNA (with a specific anti-codon) for a particular amino acid; and 'wobble' base-pairing, i.e. permitting non-standard base-pairing at the 3rd anti-codon position. The record is from RNAcentral. Lineage: Bacteria; Pseudomonadati; Pseudomonadota; Betaproteobacteria; Burkholderiales; Comamonadaceae. RNAcentral also lists the same sequence under 1 other name.
GCCGGAUUAGCUCAGUUGGUAGAGCACCCGCCUUGUAAGCGGUAGGUCGUCAGUUCGAAUCCGACAUCCGGCACCA